UGAUACAAAGUUGCUGCGACACAGCCUGGACUCGGCAGCUUCCUUAAAGCCGCAGCCGCGACAGGAGCUUGGGGUGCCGGGCGGUGGCUACAUCAGGCGGCCACCGCACGCUGCCCCCACCCCCAUCGCUUGGCCACCCAAACUUGCCUACGUCCACCCUGCUCUCCUUCUGGCCGACCCCAGGAUAUCUGGAGAGAUGUGAAAAGUGUGGGGACGCGGAAGAAGUCGGUUUUUCCGCGAGCAAAGUGUCGUCCCCUCACGCUCUCCACCUGCAGCGCCAGAGUUACCUCUCAGCAGAGCAGCAGCAGCCUUCGCUGCCAGCGAGCAAGACGAUCACGUUCCCACUCGAUUUGAAUGUACUUGUUUUAACCGUGCUGGAAGAACCCUUUAAAUACAGCCUUCCUCCCAUCCCUUAGACCCCCAACCAAACAAACAAAAAAGAAAAAACUAAAGAAAGAAAAAGAAAAAUGAAAAAAGUGCCAGAGUCAAGAGCUGCUCCUCUACUUCCUUAAAUUUUUGUCACUAUACUUACUACUUUAGUAUUGGAUUUUUCCACUAGUUCAAUUUGAAAGCAAGCUUACCAUCGAGGAUAUUCACGUUAUAAUGGGUGGAGGGGGUGGGUCACAUAAGUGGGAGAAACAGGCAGGAGGGGGGAAGGAACCAAACUGUUUUCGAAGGAUCGGUUGUCUGCAUGAAGAAAUUUCGGUUUCCCUCCAACCGCCCCCUCCUCGAUUCUCCUCCCGCCCACCCAAAUGCUGCAGUUACUAAGCAAAAGGAUGGGGUUCUUAACUUUGAUUUCUAAGGACUUUUAGGCUCCGCGUAUAAGGCCCCGUUUUAGGCUCCCCGCUGGCCCGGAGUCAGCAUCAGUGACGUAUACACCUAAAUCUGGUCCCCGGCCCUCGGCGACCCACAGCCCGGCGGCGGCAGCUGUGCGGCCUCCCGCCUUACCCUCGCUUAGCGCCCGCCAAAGCCCGAGGCUGGGGGCGGGGGGACACCCUGUGCCCAAAGGCCCCUCCUUUCCUUACAGUUAGUUAAGCUUCGGGAUUCCCGACCCCUAACCCAGGGAGACUUGAACUCUCAGCCGCUCCAGUCGGGAACUCCCUGGAGAAAGGGGCGACAGCGGCGGCGCCACGAGCUGCUCCUGACCCCCGACUCUAAUGCUCCUCGGUCCCCAGCGCGGAGCUGCCCCCACCGUCCCCACAGCCAGGAGUCCCCGCCGAGCAUCCCAACUUUCCCAAGGGACCCACCGUCACGCGCACUCUCCCGUCCCUACGAGCCGGACAUCCAUCGCACCCCGGCAGAGCGCUGGCGGCGGGCGGGAGCAAGGGGGAGUCCCGGACCUAGAGCCUGGACAAGAGAAGCGGCGGCGGUUCCUCAAGCGUUGCCGAAUUAUUCAUUAUUAAAGGAACGGACAUGU
This is a long non-coding RNA of Piliocolobus tephrosceles (Ugandan red Colobus), 1417 nucleotides long. RefSeq lists it as uncharacterized. NCBI's taxonomy places the organism in Eukaryota, Metazoa, Chordata, Mammalia, Primates, Cercopithecidae. The transcript is spliced from 2 exons. The record is from RefSeq and is a predicted model, not a curated record.